UUUAGUUUAUCAGCGACCUGCAGGCCCACUGGCGGCCUUUACACUUACAGCUGGUCAGCGGGGUGGGACAGGGUGGAAGCUAAAUGGCUGCUCUAAAACGCCUUGGUGUAAACAACCCAGGGAAGGACUUCCUUGAACUGCCAGUUACCUGAGUGUGAUCCAUCUCACUAAAGCGUCUGCCCCAAGAGGGGUAGUAUCACCAGGAAAGAAAACAAAUAAAAGACACCCAGCAUGUUGCAGCACAGGCACAGGCUGGGGAAUGCUGUCCCCUUGAGGGGGAGAGGGAUCCUCAGCUAGCUGAUUUGGAACUUUUUUUAAGACUAUAAUGAAUCAUCACAGCAAAAUUUCUUGCAAGCAAAAGGAUUAAACAACACCAAACAUUUUGGAUGCAAGCAUUUUUGAUAUAAGCAAUGCAAGAAUACAAAACCACAGAGAUGUGCAUGGCAGGGUGGGGGAAUGCAUUUGUGAAAGAAAUUUAAAUGAAAAAAAUCUAUCAGCAUGUGCAUCUUUUUUCCUGGCUAACACCUACAAGCAGACAGCAAGAGACACAAGGCUGCUGAAUAAGACACAGCAUAGCUGUGAACAAGAAAGCAUGAAUAAUAGUGCUGUGGAAAUAUUGUACCUCAAAACCUGAAU
Motacilla alba alba is the source of this 636-nucleotide long non-coding RNA. RefSeq lists it as uncharacterized. The transcript is spliced from 4 exons. NCBI's taxonomy places the organism in Eukaryota, Metazoa, Chordata, Aves, Passeriformes, Motacillidae. The record is from RefSeq and is a predicted model, not a curated record.